Molecule: non-coding RNA, 1611 nt
Organism: Chrysemys picta bellii (western painted turtle)
Lineage: Eukaryota; Metazoa; Chordata; Testudines; Emydidae
Source: RefSeq, a predicted model, not a curated record
AGUAACAUAAUGCAUGUGUGGGACGGCAUACAUUCUCUUUGCAAUAAAGCACCUAGCAGGCCUGGUUCUCCAUUGCCUUGCUCCCUGCAUUAGUCAUCUACAUCCAUCCCAAGUGAAUGUGAAAUGCUACUUGAAGAGACUGGUCGCAUUUGACACGCACUUUGCACAGGCGCAAAUGGUGAGGCAAGGCAGCAGCAAAUUGGACCUUUUCUAUGCAAUUUGCAAUUGAUCUGUGUGCCAGAGAGUAUGUAUCUGUUUCACUUCAGCUGACUGUAAUGAGGCGGUGUGGCUUCCUUCCGCCCCGGAGGCCAGAGUGGGCAGAGCUAGGGAGCUCAGAGCCCGCCCCUCAGAGGGUCAGGCGGCGACCCGGAAGUAUAAAGGCUCACCCUCAGAGCUCAGUAAGGCCCGAGCCGCCGGAGAGGCCAGACGCCUCCAGUCUAGCUCGUGACUGGGAAAACUCCACGGCCCAAGGCAGCCGCCAGGACUGGCCGGGCCUGCCCUGCGCUCGCUACCUAGAGGAGUUGCCGGACCUGCCCUGCGCUCGCUACCCGGAGGAGUUGCUGAGCCUGCCGCUCGCCCACUACCCAGAGGAACCUAUGGUGCUGGACCCCCAGAGGACAACACCCUGACCCAGGCAGCUGUACACAUAUUAACAUACUGCUGGCCCCUGUGAUGUAUUCUGAAUAUGAAAUGAAGUGCAAAGCAAGCGAACACUGAAAAGGGUCUGGGAGCCAACUUUCCCAGUGGCACACGGUGAUUUCUCAGGUAGCCAGGACCUCAGCCAUGUGGUGGUUUAGAGAUAUGCGCUGACACCUUGAAUUGCCUCCAGGAGCCUGCAAGAUCUACUCUACUCUACAGAGAACAGCUAUCAGGUCCCUUCAGCUAGCAGCGACACAAACGGGCAGCUGCAUUCUGCACUAGCUCCAGGGUUCGGAUGGUUUUCAGAGAGCCCAUUGCUAUGUUGCUGUCUGGCGGCUGCCAACAGUCAUGGCAAGGCCCACACACGCAGAAGAGAUGGUCACAAGUAAGACCGUGGUGUGCUGGCAGGAAUGAGAGGAGGCCAGUUUAACGUCAGGGGUGUUUAGGUUAAGCUGACUCCUGCCUUCUCCGGGGUGGAGGGUAUUUAAAUAUGGUGGUGGGCAGGGGGCUAGGGAGGCAAUGGGGCCAUGUUUUCAGGUGCCUCAGAUUCAGAGGCACUGAAAAUCGGGCUCCUUUAAGGUGUCUCCAGUACAGCAGCCAGAAUCACUGGGCAUUUGAAAAUUGAGGCCAAGGUCAGGCUAGAGGAGAAAUGCUGUCCAGAGUGGCAUCUAUUCCACGGGCCUGGCAGCUGCCAUGGGGCGCUGUGCCAGCUGGACCCAAUUCUGACCCACUUUUGUUGUGUGUGCAUGUGUCUAUUCCUCUUUUCUUUCCCCUCAGCUUGUCAAACUCAGGCCCAGCAAAGCAACAAAUCCAUCUUUUCAGAGAUCAAUUACUGUGUCUGGCUGCAAAGCCUGGAAAUCCAAUUAACUCUAAAAUAAAUAUAAGAAAAUGAAAAAUAUACUGAGGGGAGGGCAUAAAUCACCUCAAAAAUGUUCCAAACAUUAAAAUAAACAAGGAGGAAUUUCAACUUCA